GAUGAACGCUGGCGGCGUGCCUAAUACAUGCAAGUCGAGCGAACAGACGAGGAUCUUGCUCCUCUGACGUUAGCGGCGGACGGGUGAGUAACACGUGGAUAACCUACCUAUAAGACUGGGAUAACUUCGGGAAACCGGAGCUAAUACCUGAUAAUAUAUUUAACCUCAUGGUUCAAUAGUGAAAGACGGUUUUGCUGUCACUUAUAGAUGGAUCCGCGCCGCAUUAGCUAGUUGGUAAGGUAACGGCUUACCAAGGCAACGAUGCGUAGCCGACCUGAGAGGGUGAUCGGCCACACUGGAACUGAGACACGGUCCAGACUACAACGGGAGGCAGCAGUAGGGAAUCUUCCGCAAUGGGCGAAAGCCUGACGGAGCAACGCCGAGUGGGUGAUGAAGGUCUUCGGAUCGUAAAACUCUGUUAUUAGGGAAGAACAAAUGUGUAAGUAACUAUGCACGUCUUGACGGUACCUAAUCAGAAAGCCACGGCUAACUACGUG
RNAcentral lists this ribosomal RNA (497 nucleotides) under uncultured bacterium. RNAcentral describes it as "partial 16S ribosomal RNA". It matches the Rfam family "Bacterial small subunit ribosomal RNA", at positions 28 to 507 of the family's 1533-position model. The record is from RNAcentral.